RNAcentral lists this ribosomal RNA (266 nucleotides) under uncultured prokaryote. RNAcentral describes it as "partial 16S ribosomal RNA". It matches the Rfam family "Bacterial small subunit ribosomal RNA", at positions 524 to 788 of the family's 1533-position model. The record is from RNAcentral.
UACGGAGGAUCCGAGCGUUAUCCGGAAUUAUUGGGUUUAAAGGGUGCGUAGGCGGCCAUUUAAGUCAGCGGUGAAAUUUUGCAGCUUAACUGUAACAGUACCUUUGAUACUGUUUGGCUAGGAUUUGGUUGUAGUGUGCGGAAUGUGUGGUGUAGCGGUGAAAUGCUUAGAUAUCACACAGAACACCGAUUGCGAAGGCAGCACACUAAGUCAUUAUUGACGCUGAGGCACGAAAGUGUGGGGAUCAAACAGGAUUAGAUACCCCU